Molecule: ribosomal RNA, 534 nt
Filed under: uncultured kinetoplastid
Lineage: Eukaryota; Euglenozoa; Kinetoplastea
Description: bacterial SSU rRNA
Rfam family: Eukaryotic small subunit ribosomal RNA
Source: RNAcentral
GCUGUUAAGGGUUCGUAGUUGAAUUGGGGGCUGAAGAGAAACUGUGGCGUCUCCACCAGGGUACUCAACCACUGGAACUCGCAGCCCGAGAACAUUCGAAACAAACAUCACGGGAUCGUUUCUUCCCAAAUUUCGCAUGCAACGUAUGCAGGGGGACGUCCGUGUUUAUUACUGUGACAAAGAAGGGUGACCAAAGCAGUCAUUCGACACGAAUUAAAAAGCAUGGGAUAACAAAGCGCGGCCUACGGGCUUCCAUUACGGCUUUUGUUGGUUUUAAUGGCUUGUGGGAGAUUGUGGGGUCGCAGACCGGUUGCACGGGACUUGUUCCCGACAGCCUUCUGGGUGGUGAAAGCCGUUCGACUUGCCGGCUCCAGGAAUGAAGGAGGGUUGUUCGGGGGAGAACGUACUUGGGCGUGGAGGUGAAAUUCUUAGACCGCUCGAAGACGAACUACAGCGAAGGCAUUCUCCAAGGUACCUUCCUCAAUCAAGAACCAAAGUGUGGAGAUCGAAGAUGAUUAGAUACCAUUGUAGUCC